GGAUGCGAUCAUACCAGCACUAAAGCACCGGAUCCCAUCAGAACUCCAAAGUUAAGCGUGCUUGGGCGAGAGUAGUACUAGGAUGGGUGACCUCCUGAGAAGUCCUCGUGUUGCAUUCC
This 119-nucleotide ribosomal RNA is filed under the name Triticum aestivum (bread wheat). Lineage: Eukaryota; Viridiplantae; Streptophyta; Magnoliopsida; Poales; Poaceae. The record is from RNAcentral.